GAUGAACGCUGGCGGCGUGCUUAACACAUGCAAGUCGAACGGUGAAGGCGGAGCCUGCUCUGCUGGAUCAGUGGCGAACGGGUGAGUAACACGUGAGCAAUCUGCCCCUGACUCUGGGAUAAGCGCUGGAAACGGCGUCUAAUACUGGAUACGAGCUGCGAAGGCAUCUUCAGCAGCUGGAAAGAACUUCGGUCAGGGAUGAGCUCGCGGCCUAUCAGCUUGUUGGUGAGGUAACGGCUCACCAAGGCGUCGACGGGUAGCCGGCCUGAGAGGGUGACCGGCCACACUGGGACUGAGACACGGCCCAGACUCCUACGGGAGGCAGCAGUGGGGAAUAUUGCACAAUGGGCGAAAGCCUGAUGCAGCAACGCCGCGUGAGGGACGACGGCCUUCGGGUUGUAAACCUCUUUUAGCAGGGAAGAAGCGAAAGUGACGGUACCUGCAGAAAAAGCGCCGGCUAACUACGUG
This 468-nucleotide ribosomal RNA is filed under the name uncultured bacterium. RNAcentral's name for it is "partial 16S ribosomal RNA". It matches the Rfam family "Bacterial small subunit ribosomal RNA", at positions 28 to 507 of the family's 1533-position model. The record is from RNAcentral.